Molecule: long non-coding RNA, 116 nt
Organism: Sapajus apella (tufted capuchin)
Lineage: Eukaryota; Metazoa; Chordata; Mammalia; Primates; Cebidae
Exons: 3
Source: RefSeq, a predicted model, not a curated record
UGGCCAGGCUGGCCUCGAACUCCUGACCUCAGGUGAUUCACCAGCCUCGGCCUCCCAAAGUGCUGGGGUUACAAGCAUGAACCGCCAUGCCCGGCCCUGUUCUCUACUCUUCCUCC